RNAcentral lists this unclassified non-coding RNA (252 nucleotides) under Basidiomycota sp. RNAcentral describes it as "partial contains small subunit ribosomal RNA and internal transcribed spacer 1". The stretch from base 1 to 47 matches the Rfam family "Eukaryotic small subunit ribosomal RNA", at positions 1785 to 1831 of the family's 1831-position model. The record is from RNAcentral. Lineage: Eukaryota; Fungi; Basidiomycota.
AAAGUCGUAACAAGGUUUCCGUAGGUGAACCUGCGGAAGGAUCAUUAGUGGAGUGUGCACCUUGAGUGCACCAACUCUCAUUGACACCUGUGUUAUUGUAAAUGUUCGUGUGUUUGGUGUGUGAUGGGGAGUGAUCCCUAUCCGCACCAGCACACACCGUUUUAAACCUUAUUUCAAACCUCUGAUCCAAAACGUCCUUUCGUGGGACAUUCAAAAACAGUAAAACUGUUGGCAACGGAUCACUUGGUUCUC